Molecule: ribosomal RNA, 1372 nt
Filed under: uncultured bacterium
Lineage: Bacteria
Description: bacterial SSU rRNA
Rfam family: Bacterial small subunit ribosomal RNA
Source: RNAcentral
GAUGAACGCUGGCGGCGUGCCUAAUACGUGCAAGUCGAGCGAACGGACGAGAAGCUUGCUUCUCUGAUGUUAGCGGCGGACGGGUGAGUAACACGUGGAUAACCUACCUAUAAGACUGGGAUAACUUCGGGAAACCGGAGCUAAUACCGGAUAAUAUUUUGAACCGCAUGGUUCAAAAGUGAAAGACGGUCUUGCUGUCACUUAUAGAUGGAUCCGCGCUGCAUUAGCUAGUUGGUAAGGUAACGGCUUACCAAGGCAACGAUGCAUAGCCGACCUGAGAGGGUGAUCGGCCACACUGGAACUGAGACACGGUCCAGACUCCUACGGGAGGCAGCAGUAGGGAAUCUUCCGCAAUGGGCGAAAGCCUGACGGAGCAACGCCGCGUGAGUGAUGAAGGUCUUCGGAUCGUAAAACUCUGUUAUUAGGGAAGAACAUAUGUGUAAGUAACUGUGCACAUCUUGACGGUACCUAAUCAGAAAGCCACGGCUAACUACGUGCCAGCAGCCGCGGUAAUACGUAGGUGGCAAGCGUUAUCCGGAAUUAUUGGGCGUAAAGCGCGCGUAGGCGGUUUUUUAAGUCUGAUGUGAAAGCCCACGGCUCAACCGUGGAGGGUCAUUGGAAACUGGAAAACUUGAGUGCAGAAGAGGAAAGUGGAAUUCCAUGUGUAGCGGUGAAAUGCGCAGAGAUAUGGAGGAACACCAGUGGCGAAGGCGACUUUCUGGUCUGUAACCGGCGCUGAUGUGCGAAAGCGUGGGGAUCAAACAGGAUUAGAUACCCUGGUAGUCCACGCCGUAAACGAUGAGUGCUAAGUGUUAGGGGGUUUCCGCCCCUUAGUGCUGCAGCUAACGCAUUAAGCACUCCGCCUGGGGAGUACGACCGCAAGGUUGAAACUCAAAGGAAUUGACGGGGACCCGCACAAGCGGUGGAGCAUGUGGUUUAAUUCGAAGCAACGCGAAGAACCUUACCAAAUCUUGACAUCCUUUGACAACUCUAGAGAUAGAGCUUUCCCCUUCGGGGGACAAAGUGACAGGUGGUGCAUGGUUGUCGUCAGCUCGUGUCGUGAGAUGUUGGGUUAAGUCCCGCAACGAGCGCAACCCUUAAGCUUAGUUGCCAUCAUUAAGUUGGGCACUCUAAGUUGACUGCCGGUGACAAACCGGAGGAAGGUGGGGAUGACGUCAAAUCAUCAUGCCCCUUAUGAUUUGGGCUACACACGUGCUACAAUGGACAAUACAAAGGGCAGCGAAACCGCGAGGUCAAGCAAAUCCCAUAAAGUUGUUCUCAGUUCGGAUUGUAGUCUGCAACUCGACUACAUGAAGCUGGAAUCGCUAGUAAUCGUAGAUCAGCAUGCUACGGUGAAUACGUUCCCGGGUCU